This 1008-nucleotide ribosomal RNA is filed under the name Triticum aestivum (bread wheat). Its description in RNAcentral is "partial small subunit ribosomal RNA". The record is from RNAcentral. Lineage: Eukaryota; Viridiplantae; Streptophyta; Magnoliopsida; Poales; Poaceae.
AUGAUAUCUAUGCUGUCAUCUACUUUCGGCCACCAUUGCCAGGCCCAGCAAAGCACCAAACAAGACAAGCAGCAGCACGCCGGCGUCACCUUUCGGCGAUGCUGCUGUUCCCGGGACGUAGCACGAGCUGCUCUGCUGCUGCACCUGCUGCGUGUUCCCCGGCACGGUGCUCGUCGGCACACAGUACCCUGCCGGCGUCGCCCCCCUCCCGGCCUGCGGCGCAGCCUGCAAAAUAGUAGAAGAGCGUCAGCGCCGUCCAUUCCAUUGAACAAAAGCCGCAGGCUAGGCCGAGGCGAGCACCUGCGCCGGAGUUGCGGUGACGCCGAUCUGGCCGGACGUGCUGGGGCUGGCGCUGCCUUUGGCGAGACCGAUGUCGUAGUUGGCCGUGAGGUCGGCCUGGUACAGCCCGAACGACCGCUCCGACACGGGCCCGGGCUUGAGGUCCUCGUCGUAGAGCGCGAAGAGGUACGUGUCCACCGACCUGCCGGGCGUCCGCGGCGUGCCCACCUGCGACCUGAGGUGCGCCACGAGGUUGCCGUUGUACGCCCUGGCGUUGUCCGGCGUGGCGCCGGCCUCGUCGGCGUCCCCCCUGUACGGCCACCCGGUCUCGGCGAUGACGAUGUCCACGCCCGCGUACCCCUUGCCGUCCAGCGCCGCCCGGACGGCAUCCAGCUGCGCGUCGAACAUGUUCAUGUAGUUCAGCCCCGACCCGGCGUCCACGCGGCCCGGGUUGGGCUGGAACAGGCAGAAGGCCAGCGUCUCGUCCCGCGUGUCCGACGCGUACGCGAAAUACGGGUACGGGUUGAUCAUGAACGGCGAGCCGUUCUGCCGCAGGAAAUCCAGCACCGGGUCCAGGCUGCCGGCGAGGUCCAUGUGGAACGCGCCGGAGGACGGCGGGUCCGACGCCGCCAGCACCGCCAUCGAAUGCACCGUCGAGAUCUGUUCUUCGGCCAAUGCAAAUAUAAUCUCGUUCAAGAUUCAAGGACCACCGUUUUAGCUAGGCAGUAA